GGAAGGGGUGUAUUUAUUAGAUAAAAAACCAAUGCCCUUCGGGGCUCCUUGGUGAAUCAUAAUAACUUAACGAAUCGCAUGGCCUUGCGCCGGCGAUGGUUCAUUCAAAUUUCUGCCCUAUCAACUUUCGAUGGUAGGAUAGUGGCCUACCAUGGUGGCAACGGGUAACGGGGAAUUAGGGUUCGAUUCCGGAGAGGGAGCCUGAGAAACGGCUACCACAUCCAAGGAAGGCAGCAGGCGCGCAAAUUACCCAAUCCCGACACGGGGAGGUAGUGACAAUAAAUACUGAUACGGGGCUCUUUUGGGUCUCGUAAUUGGAAUGAGUACAAUCUAAAUCCCUUAACGAGGAACAAUUGGAGGGCAAGUCUGGUGCCAGCAGCCGCGGUAAUUCCGGCUCCAAUAGCGUAUAUUAAAGUUGUUGCAGUUAAAAAGCUCGUAGUUGAACCUUGGGUCUGGCUGGCCGGUCCGCCUCACCGCGAGUACUGGUCCGGCUGGACCUUUCCUUCUGGGGAAUCUCAUGGCCUUCACUGGCUGUGGGGGGAACCAGGACUUUUAC
RNAcentral lists this ribosomal RNA (556 nucleotides) under uncultured Aspergillus. RNAcentral describes it as "SSU rRNA". It matches the Rfam family "Eukaryotic small subunit ribosomal RNA", at positions 194 to 755 of the family's 1831-position model. The record is from RNAcentral. Lineage: Eukaryota; Fungi; Ascomycota; Eurotiomycetes; Eurotiales; Aspergillaceae.